GCGGGCAUAGUUCAGCGGUAGAACGUCUCCUUGCCAAGGAGAAGGCCUCGAGUUCGAAUCUCGUUGCCCGCU
RNAcentral lists this transfer RNA (72 nucleotides) under Anaerolineales bacterium. RNAcentral's name for it is "tRNA-Gly". It matches the Rfam family "tRNA". Rfam says of the family: Transfer RNA (tRNA) molecules are approximately 80 nucleotides in length. Their secondary structure includes four short double-helical elements and three loops (D, anti-codon, and T loops). Lineage: Bacteria; Bacillati; Chloroflexota; Anaerolineae; Anaerolineales. The record is from RNAcentral.